Long non-coding RNA from Tarenaya hassleriana, 592 nucleotides. RefSeq lists it as uncharacterized. NCBI's taxonomy places the organism in Eukaryota, Viridiplantae, Streptophyta, Magnoliopsida, Brassicales, Cleomaceae. The transcript is spliced from 3 exons. The record is from RefSeq and is a predicted model, not a curated record.
CCUUCUCUGUUUUGGAUUCAAAUUACGAAAGCUGGUCGAUUCUACAUCUCAACCGUGUUCUUGCGCCGUUUGUGUUUCGAAAUCGCAGAUCCAGGUGAAAUUCGAAAGAAUCUGAGGAACUUUGUUUGAAGCACAGUCGAAAGGGUCGGAGGAUUUACAUCUUUGUUCGCUUGAUUCAUGAACCCUAGAAGGGAGAAUCGUGGGGCUAGAAGUUCCCUCUUCGACGGAAUGAACACGAGAAUGAACGAGCCUUGGAAGGAUUCCAGGACAGAGUCAAUUUUCUGAAACGGGUAAAGCUUUAAGAAAUGCUAAACCAAAACCGGCUCGACAUACCCGAUAUAUGGACUAACAAACCCCCCAAAGAAGAUACAACAUUGGGCGUUACAGAGAAUGUAUAUGUGCGCUAAAAUACCAUCCAUUCGGUUUAUUGGUGCAUUUGUUGCAUGUAACGCAAGUUGAAAAAAACGCUGGCCUUUGCUAAGUUUGCCAAACCCCUGAAAUUAUUAACUCGUUAUGAUGUAAACAUACUCUUUCUUGGUCUUAGAUUUUCACCAUUGGGAAGGAUGAUCUUGAUAUGUUUGAUUUGUCUAUG